AGAGUUUGAUCCUGGCUCAGAACGAACGUUGGCGGCGUGGAUUAGGCAUGCAAGUCGAACGAAUCCCAUUUGUGUAGCAAUACACGGGUGGGGGAAGUGGCGAAAGGGGCAGUAAGGCGUGGGUAACCUACCCUGGGGAUGGGCAUAGCCGUUCUAACGAGCGGGUAAUACCCAGCGAUUCGGCCGAGGGGACAUCCUCUUGCCGGGAAAUGAGAUUCGCCUCGGGAGGGGCUCACGUGCUAUUAGCUAGUUGGUGAGGUAACGGCUCACCAAGGCAAAGAUGGCUAGCGGGUGUGAGAGCACGACCCGCGCCACUGGCACUGAGACACUGGCCAGACACCUACGGGUGGCUGCAGUCGAGGAUCUUCGUCAAUGGGCGCAAGCCUGAACGAGCGACGCCGCGUGUGCGGUGAAGGCCUUCGGGUUGUAAA
RNAcentral lists this ribosomal RNA (431 nucleotides) under uncultured bacterium. RNAcentral describes it as "bacterial SSU rRNA". It matches the Rfam family "Bacterial small subunit ribosomal RNA", at positions 8 to 429 of the family's 1533-position model. The record is from RNAcentral.